This 428-nucleotide long non-coding RNA is filed under the name Cyanistes caeruleus (blue tit). RNAcentral's name for it is "lncRNA (ENSCCEG00000018987.1)". The record is from RNAcentral. Lineage: Eukaryota; Metazoa; Chordata; Aves; Passeriformes; Paridae.
GAAGAUUCAGGUGAAAAUAUCCCAGCACAACUUCUCUUAAGACUACUUAAUUUUCUCUAGCAUGGAACGUGUUCUAAGAAUAGAAAAGUUUUGUGAUGCUUUGAAGACUCCCUCCCUAUGACCCUCCUGAGGGAUUUGUGUAACAGAGGUUUUUGUGAGAGGAGCCUGGUCCUGUCCUCCAGAUCCAGCAUGUCUGAUCUGACAAGAUGUUAUGGCCCACCCCUGAAGGCGAAGGUAGCUGAGAACUAUGGAGAAGAAUGACUGGAGUUGCCACAGGGCUGUAAAUCUCUUGGCAUAGCUGGUCUGGGACAUGCAGAGGCUGUGUGUGGUGCUUUCAAAAUCAAAACAGCAAAGAGAAAAAUCUGGAGCAGACAUCAUGAAGCAGCAGACCAGAGGGUCUUGUUUAAAAUAGGUAAACAAAAAUAAUU